This 253-nucleotide ribosomal RNA is filed under the name uncultured bacterium. Its description in RNAcentral is "partial 16S ribosomal RNA". It matches the Rfam family "Bacterial small subunit ribosomal RNA", at positions 524 to 776 of the family's 1533-position model. The record is from RNAcentral.
UACAGAGGUCUCAACCGUUGUUCGGAUUCACUGGGCGUAAAGGGUGCGUAGGUGGCCUGAAAAGUUUGAUGUGAAAGCUCAGGGCUUAACCCUGAAAUGGCAUUGAAUACUGUCGGGCUGGAGGUUUGGAGGGGGGACUGGAAUUCUUGGUGUAGCAGUGAAAUGCGUAGAUAUCAAGAGGAACACCAGUGGCGAAGGCGAGUCCCUGGACAACACCUGACACUGAGGCACGAAAGCUAGGGGAGCAAACAGG